Molecule: ribosomal RNA, 369 nt
Filed under: Triticum aestivum (bread wheat)
Lineage: Eukaryota; Viridiplantae; Streptophyta; Magnoliopsida; Poales; Poaceae
Description: partial small subunit ribosomal RNA
Source: RNAcentral
CCAACUGAGAAUACAAAUUCUACUGAUGAUGAUAUGAAUGAGGGUAAUAACAAUUCCAGUGAGCAAGAAAAUGUAACUCAUUCACCGAGUGUCGAUAAACAACAGCCAUUCACUGUUGACAUUUUUGAUCCACGAAACUGGGAUAAUCUGGAUGAUAAGGCUAGGGAUAUUUUAGUUGAGAAGGGUCCCGUAAGAAAUGAUGAUAUUGUGUACCCUUCAGAUAUUAAUUCUAGACAUUUUUCACAAUCUUAUUAUUCCAGAAAGUUGAGCAAUGGAGAGGUACAUGACAGGAAAUGGUUGGUUUACUCUGAACAUGCUAACAAAGUGUACUGCCUAACUUUUUAUCUGAUGGUAACACAAAAGAUAUAA